UACGGGGGGUGCGAGCGUUGUCCGGAUUUAUUGGGCGUAAAGAGCGUGUAGGCGGUUUGGUAGGUCCGUUGUGAAAACUCGAGGCUCAACCUCGAGACGCCGAUGGAAACCAUCAGACUAGAGUCCGGAAGAGGAGAGUGGAAUUCCUGGUGUAGCGGUGAAAUGCGCAGAUAUCAGGAAGAACACCCGUGGCUAAGGCGGCUCUCUAGUACGGUACUGACGCUGAGACGCGAAAGCGUGGGGAGCGAACAGG
Molecule: ribosomal RNA, 253 nt
Filed under: uncultured bacterium
Lineage: Bacteria
Description: partial 16S ribosomal RNA
Rfam family: Bacterial small subunit ribosomal RNA
Source: RNAcentral